CCGGCACGGGUGCGUAACGCGUAUGCAACCUACCUUUAACAGGGGGAUAACACUGAGAAAUUGGUACUAAUACCCCAUAAUAUGGGCGCUCCGCAUGGAGAGUCCAUUAAAGAGAGCAAUUUUGGUUACAGACGAGCAUGCGCUCCAUUAGCCAGUUGGCGGGGUAACGGCCCACCAAAGCGACGAUGGAUAGGGGUUCUGAGAGGAAGGUCCCCCACAUUGGAACUGAGACACGGUCCAA
Molecule: ribosomal RNA, 241 nt
Filed under: uncultured bacterium
Lineage: Bacteria
Description: partial 16S ribosomal RNA
Rfam family: Bacterial small subunit ribosomal RNA
Source: RNAcentral